Molecule: long non-coding RNA, 232 nt
Organism: Herpailurus yagouaroundi (jaguarundi)
Lineage: Eukaryota; Metazoa; Chordata; Mammalia; Carnivora; Felidae
Exons: 2
Source: RefSeq, a predicted model, not a curated record
AUACAAAUCGGCCUUUCUCUUGCUAAACUGUCUUUGUCCGUUUCACCUGCAGGCCUCCAGAGAACGUGAGAGGGUAGAAGGGUGCACAUGUCGUUACUACUACCGGUAAGGAAAGCAGAGAUGGGGUUCGACUCUUGCUAACGCUGCAUUUGACGACGAAGUGCACGGAUGGGCCGACGAGAAGGUCCAGGCGCCUGACUGAAGUUUGGUCCAAGAGCCCUGGAUAACGGAC